Apodemus sylvaticus (European woodmouse) is the source of this 372-nucleotide non-coding RNA. NCBI's taxonomy places the organism in Eukaryota, Metazoa, Chordata, Mammalia, Rodentia, Muridae. The record is from the annotation of a RefSeq genome assembly.
AUGGUCAUCAAUAUGAAGUCACAGACUCAGGUGUCCACAUUCCUGUUGCUCUGGUUGUCUGAUAUUUAUGGAGCCAUUGUGAUGACCCAGUCUCACAAAACCUUGUCCACAUCAGGAGGAGACAGGGUCAUCAUCAACUGCAAGGCUAGUCAGAAUUUGGGCACUGCUGUAGCAUGGUAUCAACAGGAUCAAGAGCAGUCUCCUAAAUUGCUGAUAUACAGGGCAUCCACCCUUUUCCUUGGGGUCACUGAUCACUUCACAGGCAGUGGAUCUGGGACAGAUUUCACUCUCACCAUCAGCAGUGUGCGGGCUGAAGACCUGCCAGUUUAUUACUGUCAGCAGUAUAGCAGCUAUCAUUUCACAGUGCUUUAG